RNAcentral lists this unclassified non-coding RNA (874 nucleotides) under Dermacentor andersoni. RNAcentral's name for it is "e3 ubiquitin-protein ligase MIB1-like". Lineage: Eukaryota; Metazoa; Arthropoda; Arachnida; Ixodida; Ixodidae. The record is from RNAcentral.
UCCGCUUCGUCGGCAAGCGAGGAGUGAACAGCUGCUGCCGGCGGCGCUGUUGGCGGCGGCGUUUUGUGCUUGCUUCUAAACAGUCCGCCGUCUCGACUGAGAACGGAGGGAGCAUUUGGCGUUCGCCGGGCGAGUCGCGUGACACGAAGAGGCAUUUCGGUGACAUUUGCGCUCUUUGAGCUCGCGAUAGGGUGCGUGACAUAGCUUGCCAUACUGUGGCGUCAGUACUUUGCAUGGCAUAGAGAAGCCUUGCGCUUUCGAAACCUGCGAGUGUCUCGGCUGUGGCACCGUACGUGGACAGCGUCGCAGUGAAGGCUGUGCGUGUGAUGCUGUGGUUUGAGUGCACCUUGCGGGGUUACCGUAUUCGAGCGUGACAAAGUUGCAAAGCCGGUGACAUUGCAGGUGCGUGACGACGGUCCAGUAUAACGCCUCAGCGAGUUGCACCUCAUGAUGGGGAACAGCACCUCUGAAGAAGUGGGAACACCUCCUGCCCCAGCUAUCCCAACGUAUUCAAGGACGCCAGCCCAUUUGGGACAGCGAGUGGUGCGUGGUCCGGCCUGGAAGUGGGACAAUCAGGAUGGAGGCGAUGGUCACGUGGGCACUCUAAUCAUCGUAGAGCAGCCCUGGAGCGAGGAAGAAGAGAACUCGCCCUUUUGCGUUAGGGUCCUCUGGGACAACGGCAAGCUCUGCAAUUACCGGGCAAGUCCGAGCAAAGAAUGCGACCUGCGACUGUUCGACAGUGGACCCGUAGGCAAGCAUGCUUUCUGCACCACUUCAUCAGUCUGUGUGGUUUUCUGGAAUGGUAUUUUGUGCAUCUACCAGUAUUUUGCUGCGUUGACUAAAUUUAUCGAUGCUUACUAGGUGCCAAAGCAAA